Molecule: ribosomal RNA, 514 nt
Filed under: uncultured bacterium
Lineage: Bacteria
Description: bacterial SSU rRNA
Rfam family: Bacterial small subunit ribosomal RNA
Source: RNAcentral
GACGAACGCUGGCGGCGUGCCUAAUACAUGCAAGUCGAGCGGACCAAAGGGAGCUUGCUCCUGGAGGUUAGCGGCGAACGGGUGAGUAACACGUGGGCAACCUGCCUGUAAGACUGGGAUAACAUCGAGAAAUCGGUGCUAAUACCGGAUAAUAAAAAGAACUGCAUGGUUCUUUUUUGAAAGAUGGUUUCGGCUAUCACUUACAGAUGGGCCCGCGGCGCAUUAGCUAGUUGGUGAGGUAACGGCUCACCAAGGCGACGAUGCGUAGCCGACCUGAGAGGGUGAUCGGCCACACUGGGACUGAGACACGGCCCAGACUCCUACGGGAGGCAGCAGUAGGGAAUCUUCCGCAAUGGACGAAAGUCUGACGGAGCAACGCCGCGUGAGUGAUGAAGGUUUUCGGAUCGUAAAACUCUGUUGUUAGGGAAGAACAAGUGCCGUUCGAAAGGGCGGACGACCUUGACGGUACCUAACGAGAAAGCCACGGCUAACUACGUGCCAGCAGCCGCGGUAA